Unclassified non-coding RNA from Pongo abelii (Sumatran orangutan), 148 nucleotides. It matches the Rfam family "Metazoan signal recognition particle RNA". From Rfam's summary of the family: The signal recognition particle (SRP) is a universally conserved ribonucleoprotein. The record is from Ensembl. NCBI's taxonomy places the organism in Eukaryota, Metazoa, Chordata, Mammalia, Primates, Hominidae.
GCCAGGUGUGGUGGUGAAUGCUUGUAAUCCCAGCUACUCAGGAGGCUGAGGCAGGAGGAUUGCUUGAGCCCAGGAGGUUGAGGCUGCAGUGAGCUGUGAUCGCACCACUGCACUCCAGCCUGGGUGACAGAGCAUGACCCUGUCUCUC